Helianthus annuus (common sunflower) is the source of this 958-nucleotide long non-coding RNA. RefSeq lists it as uncharacterized. The transcript is spliced from 2 exons. The record is from RefSeq and is a predicted model, not a curated record. NCBI's taxonomy places the organism in Eukaryota, Viridiplantae, Streptophyta, Magnoliopsida, Asterales, Asteraceae.
AGCUUAAACUGAUAAUUGUUUUUUGGUUUAGGUGGUCUGCGUGAAAAUGCAUGCCUUGUAGGUAGUUUUUGAAGGUUGUUUUGAGAUUAGAUGAUCCGCUAGUCAGACUAGCGGAUGUGGUGGUGAUCUGACAAGCUUCCAGGUGGCAAUGGUGAGGUGUCCAAAAGCGCAGGGAUCCGCUAGUGGAUGUCUGGGUGACUAAUCUCGAGACCCGCCCCUUUGACCCGCGGAUGUGGGUGCCAGGAUUAUAGGCUGAACCAGCUGGUGAGGUGGCAGGCUUUGGUGAGAUCAGCUGGUAGUACCAGCGGAUGUGAACAGCUCAAAGAACUUGUGAACUGUUUUUUUUUUCAUUGUUGCUACAAUUAUCUAGUUGGUAAUUUGAAUGGUUAUGAUAAUUGAUUAAUUUCUAUCUGGCUGAGGUGAUGGCAAUAUGUCCGGAAAAGGUGUUGUCGGCAUUCCCGCUCAUGGUACUUCAGAACGGUUGGGAUAUGGCAUAUGCUUGUACUAUUUACAUAUACGCCUGAAAAAAAGGCACUUUACAGGUUCUUUGGUACUACCAGCGGGAUUUUAACAUGUGUGCUAGCAUCACAUCUCUUAAUCUGUGCAUGUUGAAGCUUUCUAAAGAUUCGGCUUUUGGAAUAUAUUCCAAUGCGAGAUAGUGGCGUGGAACAGGCUACUGUUUGGAAGCAAAAUUGCUGCAAUAUCUCGAUCUGAUCUACAACUGUCGUGAAGUUUAAAUAGGGGAGGAAAUGCUGUGAUUCAGCAUGAAAUUGGCUGCUGUUUGGAAUCAGAAAUUAGCGGUGGAAGAGAUGAGAAACUCGGUUUGUAUUCACCAUAGUCACCCCGUUACUAGAAUAAAUUUGUUAAACUAUCAUUCUCUUUAAAGUUAGAGAGAAAAUGUCAUGAACAAAUUAACAAACUUAUAUAUUGAUUGUAGCUACUACUUGUCAUGAAUAAA